GAUGAACGCUGGCGGCGUGCCUAAUACAUGCAAGUCGAGCGAACAGACGAGGAGCUUGCUCCUCUGACGUUAGCGGCGGACGGGUGAGUAACACGUGGAUAACCUACCUAUAAGACUGGGAUAACUUCGGGAAACCGGCGCUAAUACCGGAUAAUAUAUUGAACCGCAUGGUUCAAUAGUGAAAGACGGUUUUGCUGUCACUUAUAGAUGGAUCCGCGCCGCAUUAGCUAGUUGGUAAGUUAACGGCUUACCACGGCAACGAUGCGUAGCCGACCUGAGAGAGUGAUCGGCCACACGGGAGCGGAGACACGGACCAGACGCCUACGGGAGGCAGCAGUAGGGAAUCUUCCGCAAUGGGCGAGAGCCUGACGGAGCAACGGCGCGUGAGUGAUGAAGGUCUUCGGAUCGUAAAACUCUGUUAUUAGGGAAGAACAAAUGUGUAAGUAACUAUGCACGGCUUGACGGUACCUAGUCAGAAAGCCACGGCUAACUACGUG
RNAcentral lists this ribosomal RNA (497 nucleotides) under uncultured bacterium. Its description in RNAcentral is "partial 16S ribosomal RNA". It matches the Rfam family "Bacterial small subunit ribosomal RNA", at positions 28 to 507 of the family's 1533-position model. The record is from RNAcentral.